CAAACUGGAGAGUUUGAUCCUGGCUCAGAGCGAACGCUAGCGGCGGGCUUAACACAUGCAAGUCGAGGGACCCUUCGGGGGACCGGCGAACGGGUGAGUAACACGUAGGUCACGUACCCUUUGGUGGGGGAUAGCCCGGGGAAACCCGGAUUAAUACCGCAUAUGGCGAGAGCUAAAAGUAGCAAUACGCCAGAGGAUCGGCCUGCGGCCCAUUAUUUAAUCCUAGUUGGUGAGGUAACGGCUCACCAAGGGUACGAUGGGUAGCUGGUCUGAGAGGACGAUCAGCCACACUGGGACUGAGACACGGCCCAGACUCCUACGGGAGGCAGCAGUGG
RNAcentral lists this ribosomal RNA (335 nucleotides) under Deltaproteobacteria bacterium. RNAcentral describes it as "bacterial SSU rRNA". It matches the Rfam family "Bacterial small subunit ribosomal RNA", at positions 1 to 357 of the family's 1533-position model. The record is from RNAcentral. Lineage: Bacteria; Pseudomonadati; Myxococcota; Myxococcia.